UACGGAGGGUGCAAGCGUUAAUCGGAAUUACUGGGCGUAAAGCGCGCGUAGGCGGCUAGGUCAGUCGGAUGUGAAAUCCCUGGGCUCAACCUGGGAACUGCAUUCGAUACUGCCUAGCUAGAGUGUGGGAGAGGGUGGUGGAAUUCCCGGUGUAGCGGUGAAAUGCGUAGAUAUCGGGAGGAACAUCAGUGGCGAAGGCGACCGCCUGGCCCAACACUGACGCUGAGGUGCGAAAGCGUGGGUAGCAAACAGG
RNAcentral lists this ribosomal RNA (253 nucleotides) under uncultured bacterium. RNAcentral describes it as "partial 16S ribosomal RNA". It matches the Rfam family "Bacterial small subunit ribosomal RNA", at positions 524 to 776 of the family's 1533-position model. The record is from RNAcentral.